GCGGAAUGGCGGAAUUGGUAGACGCACCAGAUUUAGGUUCUGGCGCCGCAAGGUGUGAGAGUUCAAGUCUCUCUUUCCGCACCA
This 84-nucleotide transfer RNA is filed under the name Vibrio parahaemolyticus. RNAcentral's name for it is "tRNA-Leu". It matches the Rfam family "tRNA". Rfam says of the family: Transfer RNA (tRNA) molecules are approximately 80 nucleotides in length. Their secondary structure includes four short double-helical elements and three loops (D, anti-codon, and T loops). Further hydrogen bonds mediate the characteristic L-shaped molecular structure. tRNAs have two regions of fundamental functional importance: the anti-codon, which is responsible for specific mRNA codon recognition, and the 3' end, to which the tRNAs corresponding amino acid is attached (by aminoacyl-tRNA synthetases). tRNAs cope with the degeneracy of the genetic code in two manners: having more than one tRNA (with a specific anti-codon) for a particular amino acid; and 'wobble' base-pairing, i.e. permitting non-standard base-pairing at the 3rd anti-codon position. The record is from RNAcentral. Lineage: Bacteria; Pseudomonadati; Pseudomonadota; Gammaproteobacteria; Vibrionales; Vibrionaceae.